Molecule: long non-coding RNA, 411 nt
Organism: Drosophila arizonae
Lineage: Eukaryota; Metazoa; Arthropoda; Insecta; Diptera; Drosophilidae
Source: RefSeq, a predicted model, not a curated record
UCUCCUUAAUUUUGUGAACUGCAGCUGGAAACCAGUUUUAAUCUUUGAUGCUUAGAAACUUUAAUUUUUCCUAUAAUCUGAUGAAAUUAUCCAACAAUUUAUUACAACACUCUGAUGGCUGAGCUAUUUUCAAUAUUCAAUAUCAUAUUACCAAGUGCUCCUCGAGAAACAACAAUUUCGAAGUUCAAUUAAUUGUAAGACAUACACUCAAUGUGCCAAGCAAACAACAAAUUCUCACCAUAAAUCAUCGAAACAAAAGGAAGGUUCAUGGUUAAUAUCUGCCGAUGUCUUCGGCAAAGUGGUAGAGCUUAUAGAGAGAGAUAGAGAUCGAGGGACUUUUGACUACCUAAGCUAAAUUUGUAUGAACUAGUUUUUUAUUUUUAAUUUGACUACUUUAAAACUUGAUAUAUA